RNAcentral lists this small RNA (28 nucleotides) under Bombyx mori (domestic silkworm). RNAcentral describes it as "ovarian small RNA-4672". Lineage: Eukaryota; Metazoa; Arthropoda; Insecta; Lepidoptera; Bombycidae. The record is from RNAcentral.
CACGACCGAAAACCAGACGCGAAAGUGU